UUAUAAAAAAAAUACUUCACUUUAUACUUUGGGAGUUCCAACUAUCCUGACUUAAUUCUGUCUCAGUCACCGUGUGAUCGGCACGGGUUCGAUCCCAACCUGAUCUAAUAGGCCCAAUCCAUGAGGUGCCACUCGCUUCAUGGUUCUCAGCGCUCAUGUAUCAUACCUUAGUAUGGCUAAGUAAAUUCUCAGCAACGAGACCCUCGGCUCGUGUGCUCCCUACUUUGGCACAAGUAGUUUCAGGAAGUCAACGCCUUGGUAAGGACCAUCGGCCUGUACGAUGACCCCUUCUCAUAAUAAAGGAUACUCCCAAAAAUCUUUUCUUUCUAAAACUUCUUCUUGUGACUUUUCAAGUCUAAAUCUUUUCUUUAUAGAACAUCAUGUACAUGCUCAUGCUGGUAUCCUUAAAUGUAAAACAUGGCAUAAGAAUAAAAUAAACAUGUAAAAGUAUUUCUAAAGAUUUUUUCUUCUUCAUAAAUUUUCAACAUGAAAAUAACAUAUAAGAAUAACACAAAAAUCUGAAAAUUUAAGCACAUAUAUCAUAAUAAAUCAUCUAAACUUUUGCUAGAACAAUUCUAAGUUAAUAGGUACUCACUCGCUCCAAUUAAGUAAAUAUAAACUGUUUUAAGCAAUUCAUCAAACACCUUGUAUGUGUGCUUUUGUGAGUUAAACCACUUUAGUAAAGAGUUAUAUCAACUCACCUCGAAACUUCUCGAGCCAAUACAUAGACCCCAGUCUAAUUGAUAUCAGUCAAACAAUCGAUUCUACAACAACCAAUGCAGAUUAAUCAAUUUUAAAGUUUCACACCUAAACAUGAAAUUUAUUGUUGAUAUAGAGGAAGAAGAAGAUUAACUAUUCUAUUCUUACCUACUACUACUUUAGGAUAAUUGAGAAUAGGAAAUUCUAUGUACCUGAAUUCAAGAAUUAGUGAUAUCUGAAGAACCCUAUAAUUUUUCGUUAAAUUUCUGCUGCCUCUCGUAAUACCGUGCGCCUGUUUCUCUGUUUUCUG
Molecule: long non-coding RNA, 1009 nt
Filed under: Nicotiana tabacum (common tobacco)
Lineage: Eukaryota; Viridiplantae; Streptophyta; Magnoliopsida; Solanales; Solanaceae
Description: long non-coding RNA (NTAB_LNC003795)
Source: RNAcentral